UGGUGGAGUGAUCUGUCUGGUUAAUUCCGUAAACGAACGAGACUAAGCCCUGCUAACUAGUCACUUGUAUGCUUUGCGUACACUGUUGACUUCUUAGAGGGACUGUCGGCUUUCAGCCGAAGGAAGCGCUUGGCAAUAACA
This 141-nucleotide ribosomal RNA is filed under the name uncultured eukaryote. RNAcentral describes it as "partial 18S ribosomal RNA". It matches the Rfam family "Eukaryotic small subunit ribosomal RNA", at positions 1299 to 1458 of the family's 1831-position model. The record is from RNAcentral.